CCUACGGGAGGCUGCAGUGGGGAAUAUUGGACAAUGGGCGAAAGCCUGAUCCAGCCAUGCCGCGUGUGUGAAGAAGGCCUUCGGGUUGUAAAGCACUUUCAGUGGGGAAGAAAGCCUUGGGGCUAAUACCCUCGAGGAAGGACAUCACCCACAGAAGAAGCACCGGCAUAACUCCGUGCCAGCAGCCGCGGUAAUACGGAGGGUGCGAGCGUUAAUCGGAAUUACUGGGCGUAAAGCGCGCGUAGGCGGUCUGAUAAGCCGGUUGUGAAAGCCCCGGGCUCAACCUGGGAACGGCAUCCGGAACUGUCAGGCUAGAGUGCAGGAGAGGAAGGUAGAAUUCCCGGUGUAGCGGUGAAAUGCGUAGAGAUCGGGAGGAAUACCAGUGGCGAAGGCGGCCUUCUGGACUGACACUGACGCUGAGGUGCGAAAGCGUGGGUAGCAAACAGGAUUAGAUACCCUUGUAGUC
RNAcentral lists this ribosomal RNA (466 nucleotides) under Vreelandella stevensii. Its description in RNAcentral is "partial 16S ribosomal RNA". It matches the Rfam family "Bacterial small subunit ribosomal RNA", at positions 338 to 795 of the family's 1533-position model. The record is from RNAcentral. Lineage: Bacteria; Pseudomonadati; Pseudomonadota; Gammaproteobacteria; Oceanospirillales; Halomonadaceae.